GGAAAUAAAGAGCCAUUAUAGUGUGGCCAGGGUGCUCUACUAGUAAAUUCACUUUUAUUUUUUUACUCGUUUAUUAGCCUGGAAUAUUCUAGCUUGUUCUUUUAGCUAGGAGCCUGGUUGGUGUUUCUAUUCAGUAGAAAAUGCUUCUUAUCACUAAACAUAUACAGUGGGUUGGUGCAGGUGCAGUCUACGGGCACUAAGUUUUCAAUAUAAGAAAUAAUAUUAGUAGAAAGGUAGGAAAAGUAGGUGGAAUAAUCUCUAAUUCAAUAUGUUAGGGAUGAGUAACCCUUUAAUUGAUAAUAAUCAUUUAACAAGGCUGUACAGUACUUUGGGGGUACCACAGACAUAUUUAAAAGAGAAAGUAGAGUAAAUA
Molecule: long non-coding RNA, 373 nt
Filed under: Bos taurus (domestic cattle)
Lineage: Eukaryota; Metazoa; Chordata; Mammalia; Artiodactyla; Bovidae
Description: long non-coding RNA NONBTAT023403
Source: RNAcentral